UACGGAGGGUGCGAGCGUUGUUCGGAAUCACUGGGCGUAAAGGGCGUGUAGGCGGUCUGCUAAGUCUGAUGUGAAAGCCCGGGGCUCACCCCCCGGAAGGGCAUUGGAAACUGGCGGACUCGAGUCCCGGAGAGGACGGGUGGAAUUCCUGGUGGUAGGCGGUGAAAGUGACGUAGAUAUCAGGAGGAACACCGGUGGCGAAGGCGGGCCCUC
Molecule: ribosomal RNA, 213 nt
Filed under: uncultured bacterium
Lineage: Bacteria
Description: partial 16S ribosomal RNA
Rfam family: Bacterial small subunit ribosomal RNA
Source: RNAcentral